Long non-coding RNA from Gorilla gorilla gorilla (western lowland gorilla), 320 nucleotides. RefSeq lists it as uncharacterized. The record is from RefSeq and is a predicted model, not a curated record. NCBI's taxonomy places the organism in Eukaryota, Metazoa, Chordata, Mammalia, Primates, Hominidae. The transcript has 3 exons.
AAUGAAUUGGAGGCUACAAAAGGGAAGAGAUCAGCUGACAUGAAAGCAGAGUCGAAGGCAUGAACAAGAGAGGCAGACCAUUCAAGAAUCUUAGAGACUCAGAAAACUUAUAAGAAAACAAGAUAAAGAAAGAAGUAAAGAAAAAGAAUAAAGGAGAGAGAAGAGAAAGAAGAUGGGAGAGAGCUACUGUCUUGAUGUUAUGGCUUGCUGGCAGUGUUGGAAGGCCAACCCAGAAGGGGAUCCAAGUUACAUGUACAAACAAUGAGAGUUAUGAACAGAAAGGAAGAGGCGGAGAGGAAGGAGUGAAGACAGAGGAGACG